RNAcentral lists this non-coding RNA (29 nucleotides) under Homo sapiens (human). Lineage: Eukaryota; Metazoa; Chordata; Mammalia; Primates; Hominidae. The record is from RNAcentral.
UACCAGAUUACAAUUCACACCAGCCGGGA